AUCCUGCCUUAGUGCUUAAAAUCUACUGGGACCAUGCUGUGAAGGAGACUGGGAGCACAGCUGGAGAAAGGACAGGCUCAUGGUUCAGCUUGUGGACUGCUGCCCUGGAGAACUGUCUGUGCUUCAGAGUUCCUGGGUGGUCAUGGAAAUCCAGCUUCUUCCAGGCAGUCAUUAAUUGUGUUUUCUCCAUUUUCUGGGUGCACCAUUUAAAAAUUCUGACUCUGAUUUAUCGGUCCAUGCUUGGUGUCCUGUUUUGAUACAGUCUUAGGGCUUUAAUUUUACCACCACCACCCAGACUUCCCAGACCUUGUGGCACUGGUUCUCUUAGACUGGGAAAUAAAACCAAAGUUCUUGUGUGCUGUACUCAGCGCUGACUGUCAUAUGUCACUCUUCUCCCGCUUCUCAUCUGACCCUGCCCUGUGCACUUUGUCAGCUUCCAUCCACCUGGACUUUCCUUACUCUGGUUCUAUGUGUAUGGAACCUCACAGUCAUGAACGUGAUUCCCAGAUCCUCUCUUUUUUUUUUUUUUUUUUUUUCCCCCAAAGACAAUUCUUCUGACUAUUUUGUCAAGUUCAGGUUUCUCCACAACCACCUCAUCCUCAGAGGUACAUGCAUUCAGUGCACUUAAUUACACCAAUAAUUAAUUACCUCAGGGAAAAAUCAGCAAGACACACAAGAACCAAGAGCACACAGGACACCAGGAACUACUCCAGUGGCUCACAUAAUCAUCACAGGAAUGUGGAGGAUGACCUCAGGAGAUCAUCUAGUUCAACCCCCUCUUAUUCAAGAGCUGGCUGUCCUGGGGAGACCUGUACCCAUGCAGUUAUAUUCAGCCAGGGUAAAAACAGCUGCAACAGCAAGAGCUGGAUAAGCGUUUCACUGCAGUUAAGGACGGUAAUUUUGUUCUGCAGAGAGCCCUUCCAGCAAGGACAGCAUCCCAGGCAGGCUUCACCAGGCCUAUUGCUGCUUUCUUUGCUUCUUUGGUGAUGCAAACAUCUAUUCUCAACAGCCUUUUCUCCUGUUGGCACCUUGCACCGUGUGCAACGCUUUAAUUCCAAAAACUAUUUCAAUAGGAACUAGCGAAUCCUCUUCCUGCGUUUGUGAGGAGGCACAAUAAACCUCAUCACCCUGGUGCAACAUCCCCCAGCUGUCUGAAGGAGGAAGCAGAGAAAAAUCUCCUUUGUUGGCUGUUGUGCCUGGCUCCCUGUACAAUCCCUAGGUCAUUGUGACGAUUUGGAAAGCCAGCCUGGCUCUUCACCCCUGCACAUGCCUCUUCCACACAUCUACCAAGAUCCAGCUAAAAAGUAGUACUAAUCCUGGGGCUGUAGUUAAGGCUGUCUAUCCCUCCAAGAAUUUAUCAAAAGAGCUGAAGACCUCAGGAAUCAGGCUGGCUUUAACUCUUUUUACUUUGAAAGUCUCAACAGCCAGUUUGGAAGUUGAUUGGGGAAGUAGGGAAAUUGCAAGCAUGGGACAUUCAUGGGGCCUUCCACCAAAACUGUGGCACAGAGAGAGCAAAGGGAUGUCAGUCUUGGGCUGCUUGACUGAAUCUAAUGUGAGUGACAUGAUACAGACAAAAGAGACCAAAAUUUUUUCUAGAUUUGAACCCUUUCAGAUUCCUGAGGACAUGGGCAUAGGUGUUGCUUUCCAGAACACAAGAAUCUGGAAGACUUGUCAAAAGCUCAUUAGACUGAUAGAGCUUCUCUGGCUCUGGACACCAUUGUUUUCCAGGGUUAUCUAUAUGAACACAGUGGGGUCAGACAAAUUCUGGGGCAAAGGCAACUGUCCAUCUGAACAAGAUGUUCUCCUGGCAUGAUGGGAAACCUGAUGCUUUUGUCAAGAGCUAGUGGAUAAAACCAGCCUUAAACAUGUGCAGAACAUGAGCAGGGAGAACUUAAUUCCACAGAAGGAUGCAUCUGCCUGCCUACUGAGUCACUGAUGUUUUCCACAUGUUGCAAUAUUGCCAUGAACCUGUAUUUGGUGUCUGCUCAUUCACCUCCACUACAAAUUUGGGACACAGAAGUUGUCUGUAGCUUCUGUUACAUUGAACUGUUUGGACCACUUGGCUUUAUUGGUUCCAGCAAACUUACCUGGAGUUUUGCAAGGACUAGGAGCACCCAUGCACAUCCAGAUCAGCAAAACAUCAGCUGAGGCAAUUCUUCUGAGGCAAUUGUUAAUGAUGACAUAUUUUGUGACAGGAAGUGAUUGCAAAAUAGUGGGUUCUCAGGAUUAAAAACUUGUGUCCUGCUCAGAAACAUGAAUGCAACUGGUAUGUUCUAAACAUAGAUUCCUUCGGAUUUUGUUCUGGGACAAAAAUCAAAACCACUUUUCAGGAUUUAUUGUUUAAUCAUUAACGCCUGGGCAAUUGGUAAAUUUGUUACUGUUACAAUCUCUGAUUUUCCACUGAGGGAAAAAAAAAAAAAAAAGCAAAGUUAAAGUUCAACCAUAACUAUUGAGUUUGCCCAUGCCAAUCAAACAAGAGACAAGCCAUUACAAUGUCUCACAAAAUUGUUCUCUGGAUAACUGCCUUGGCAAUAUUAAGGAGUUAGAUACAAGGCUGGUAGAUCCAUUAACAUAAUUUAGAUUCUCUAGCAUAGCAAGGUUCAAAAGAGCCUUGAAUGAUUGCAUCCUUAUCAGACUAGCAAGAGGCAGGCCUUUCACCAUGCUUUCCGGUGGAAUGACCCAGCAAGAGCUGCAAGGUAAGCAAACAGAAAAUCUUCCUGCUGAUCACCUGAAAAGGAGGCAAUGGAGAAAUUAAAAAGCAAGAGUUCCUGUGCAGGAACAUAUCUAUUGGUUCCUGUUGGAGCAGGCCUAUUCAGUUUCUGAUUAGAAUGACUGAGGCUUAUUGUUGAUAUGUGAAAUGCAAACAGACAAAUGAAAACCCCUAAACACCUCCCCUACUCUUCUCCUGAACUCCUUAGAGCUUUGUUCUUCCCAGAAGUUGUACCAAUUUUCCAAUUCACUGCCACCUUAUGGUAUUUCAGAGAGAUAACACCUCAGUAAUUUCUCUCGGACACUUCACGUAUUCAGGCAACCUCCCUGGGCACUUGCACAUUACAGAGACAUGGCAGCUGUAAAACUGCCCUGUGCAUCCAGACUCAGAACAAUAUUGAUGCUUGAGAUGCUGGAUUAUAACAGCUUGUGAAAACUGAGCAUUAAAACGUCAAUUCUAUUUGUAUUUGCAGAUUCUAAAGGGAGGUCAUUUCAUCAGCCAAAGGGCCAAAAAUAAAUAGGGACUUUGCAAUGUUAUUAAAAGAGAAUCUUUCAGUCUGAAACAGCAACUAGUUCACUUGUGACUCUCACAAAUGGUUUUAAUUGU
Molecule: long non-coding RNA, 3316 nt
Organism: Hirundo rustica (Barn swallow)
Lineage: Eukaryota; Metazoa; Chordata; Aves; Passeriformes; Hirundinidae
Exons: 2
Source: RefSeq, a predicted model, not a curated record